ACACAACAGGUGGAGCCUGCGGUUUAAUCGGACUCAACGCCGGGAACCUCACCGGAUAAGACAGCGGAAUGAUAGCCGGGCUGAAGACUCUGCUUGACUAGCUGAGAGGAGGUGCAUGGCCGUCGUCAGUUCGUACUGUGAAGCAUCCUGUUAAGUCAGGCAACGAGCGAGACCCACGCCAACAGUUGCCAGCUUGUCCUCCGGGAUGAUGGGGACACUGUUGGGACCGCCUCUGCUAAAGAGGAGGAAGGAAUGGGCAACGGUAGGUCAGCAUGCCCCGAAUUAUCCGGGCUACACGCGGGCUACAAUGGUCAGGACAAUGGGUAUCGACACCGAAAGGUGAAGGCAAUCUCUUAAACCUGUCCGUAGUUCGGAUUGUGGGUUGCAACUCGCCCACAUGAAGCUGGAAUCUGUAGUAAUCGCGUCUCAAAAUGGCGCGGUGAAUAUGUCCCUGCUCCUU
Molecule: ribosomal RNA, 460 nt
Filed under: uncultured Methanolinea sp.
Lineage: Archaea; Methanobacteriati; Methanobacteriota; Methanomicrobia; Methanomicrobiales; Methanoregulaceae
Description: bacterial SSU rRNA
Rfam family: Archaeal small subunit ribosomal RNA
Source: RNAcentral